UGGAAUUUUUAGUAGUUCGUCCAUAUGGGCCGAAAUAACUUGUUGUUGAUUUCCAAAUCGUUGGUUUAACAAGUCUACAGCGGAUUGAUAAUUUUCUUCGGUCAAGGAUAAACCUUGAAUUGAACGUAGAGCUGGCCCUUCAAGCAACGAGUACAAAUAAUUGAAUUUAUCGAUUGUUGACAGCUGACUAUUUUUAUGUACAGCACUAUCGUACGAGUCCCAAAACGAUCGAAAUUUGGUUAAUUCUCCCUUAAAUUUUGGAAGUACUAACUUUGGGAGUUUAGAUUUCGUUACAUGAUGUUGUUGACUUACUUGAUUGUGUUGAAUUUGAUCUGUACUUGCUUGCGGCGCCGAAUUAUUCGAUACAACGCUUUCGUUUUGCAGUUCGCUUUGUUGUGGUUCAUUUAUAUGCUCAUCUUGCACGGAUAUUGCCGGUUGAUUCGUAACUACGUGUCCUUCGCUCGUUGCCUUUAAUAUUUUCUUGUUUACA
Paramuricea clavata is the source of this 490-nucleotide non-coding RNA. The record is from the annotation of a GenBank genome assembly. NCBI's taxonomy places the organism in Eukaryota, Metazoa, Cnidaria, Anthozoa, Malacalcyonacea, Plexauridae.